UCACGUUAUAGAGAUUGAUGAUAUGCCUUUUUUAGAAGCUUAUAAGUUUUCAUCGUGUCAAAUCUUGCAAUUGAAUUUCAUGAAUUCGACACAUGAAAUAAGUUAAGCAGUGCUCUAAAUAAAUUAAUCAAUGAAUUAAAUUCAUUAGUAAUUUAAUUUAUUGAUUAAUAUAUGUAAUCUUAACAUGGGGAAUUACAUAAGUGUUCAAUAGGAAUUUCAAAAUAUAAAUAGAGGAGUGCAAUAACGAAUUUCUAGUGAAAUAAUUUGUAAUUUAUUAUGGUAAGAAUAAUUUAAAUUAAUUAUUUGGAAUUAUUUCCAUAAUAAGAAGCCUCAGUAAUAACUUAUGUGGUC
This 351-nucleotide long non-coding RNA is filed under the name Solanum tuberosum (potato). Its description in RNAcentral is "long non-coding RNA (STUB_LNC001432)". Lineage: Eukaryota; Viridiplantae; Streptophyta; Magnoliopsida; Solanales; Solanaceae. The record is from RNAcentral.